This is a long non-coding RNA of Pieris napi, 685 nucleotides long. RefSeq lists it as uncharacterized. Lineage: Eukaryota; Metazoa; Arthropoda; Insecta; Lepidoptera; Pieridae. The transcript is spliced from 2 exons. The record is from RefSeq and is a predicted model, not a curated record.
UCAAAAAACCAUGAUAUCAGUACUACUACGUAGACAAAAUCGCGUAUAAACAAGAUCACUGUUCAGACAUAAAUAAAAUAAUUCCGUCAUAACUCUUAUCAAAGUCAUACACAUCAGUCGGCGGUGAGCGCACGCGGCGUUCAGUACCGGAAAAAUCGUGACUGGAAAAAUAAUGAGUUAAAUAAACUAUAUGAUGUAGUGUAUGUAAUCGAAUCGGACAAUGUCAAUCGUAAAAUCAUGUGGACAUACUCAAGCGUGGACAUCCCCGGACAUCGUGUGUCUAGGACUGAUCGUAUACGAAUCUACGUCUCCGAGUGUAUCGUCUGCUUCUGUAUUCUCUUCUUCAUUCUCUGCGUUGGACUGCUCUUGUAUCUCUUCUUCCAUCUUUAUAGUACAGUCUCCAGUUCUAGGAAAGUUGCCGAGACUUUAAUCGAAAGUUAAAGUACGACAAUACAUACAAAUAAUGAAUUGAGAAACUUUAUAUAGAAAUGUAAGUAAGAAAGCAUUGUACAUUACAUAACAAUUAGACAUUAGAAUCCAUUCCGGAUCUCCAAGGUAUCAAUAGUAUCAACGUUACUUAAAGGUGGCGAUAGGAACAUUUCCUUUAAGUAAGUUCCAGAAGAUUGUAUAAAUGGACUUCAGCCUUGCGAUUCUGUAACUCACUUUUCAAACUCACACAGCGGUU